This 409-nucleotide unclassified non-coding RNA is filed under the name Hevea brasiliensis (rubber tree). The record is from RNAcentral. Lineage: Eukaryota; Viridiplantae; Streptophyta; Magnoliopsida; Malpighiales; Euphorbiaceae.
GUAGGAAAUAUACCAAAUUUUUCUUUGAUUCUCCAGAUGUAGUUGGGGACCUCAACCUUGCAAAUAAUUCCUGAAUAAAAGUACUGUCAUCCUUUAACAAGGUAACAACAACUGCAUUAUUUGCAUGAAUUAUGGAAUUAAGAUUUGCAACUGUAGCCUCAUCCAACACUCUAGCCAAAACAACAUCCUUCAAAUAGCCAACUCUGUAUGUUUGGUGUAUUUUUGAAAGGACAAUAGGAUCUUUGAUUGGUAUGGCCUCCUUGAAAACAACAUGCUCUUUCAGAAAAUUACGAUGAUGUUGGGCAUGAGGAACCUCAGGGUCAUACUCAAGUGAACCAAUNNNNNNNNGAUUAAAAGAACCGACAAACUUGAGAAACUAAACAAAGCAAAUAACUGCAACAAAAAGAAG